Molecule: ribosomal RNA, 374 nt
Filed under: uncultured bacterium
Lineage: Bacteria
Description: bacterial SSU rRNA
Rfam family: Bacterial small subunit ribosomal RNA
Source: RNAcentral
UACGGAGGGGGUUAGCGUUGUUCGGAAUUACUGGGCGUAAAGCGCGCGUAGGCGGACCAUUAAGUCGGGGGUGAAAUCCCGGGGCUCAACCCCGGAACUGCCUUCGAUACUGGUGGUCUGGAGUUCGAGAGAGGUGAGUGGAAUUCCGAGUGUAGAGGUGAAAUUCGUAGAUAUUCGGAGGAACACCAGUGGCGAAGGCGGCUCACUGGCUCGAUACUGACGCUGAGGUGCGAAAGUGUGGGGAGCAAACAGGAUUAGAUACCCUGGUAGUCCACACCGUAAACGAUGAAUGCCAGACGUCGGCAGGCAUGCCUGUCGGUGUCACACCUAACGGAUUAAGCAUUCCGCCUGGGGAGUACGGUCGCAAGAUUAAA